CUACGGGUGGCAGCAGUGAGGAAUAUUGGUCAAUGGGCGCGAGCCUGAACCAGCCAAGUCGCGUGAGGGAAGACGGUCCUAUGGAUUGUAAACCUCUUUUGUCGGGGAGCAAAAGACGCCACGCGUGGCGUUCCGAGAGUACCCGAAGAAAAAGCAUCGGCUAACUCCGUGCCAGCAGCCGCGGUAAUACGGGGGAUGCGAGCGUUAUCCGGAUUUAUUGGGUUUAAAGGGUGCGCAGGCGGAAGAUCAAGUCAGCGGUAAAAUUGAUAGGCUCAACCUCUUCGAGCCGUUGAAACUGGUUGUCUUGAGUGAGUGAGAAGUAUGCGGAAGGCGUGGUGUAGCGGUGAAAUGCAUAGAUAUCACGCAGAACUCCGAUUGCGAAGGCAGCAUACCGGCGCUCAACUGACGCUCAUGCACGAAAGUGUGGGUAUCGAACAGGAUUAGAUACCCUAGUAGUC
This 458-nucleotide ribosomal RNA is filed under the name uncultured bacterium. RNAcentral's name for it is "partial 16S ribosomal RNA". It matches the Rfam family "Bacterial small subunit ribosomal RNA", at positions 339 to 795 of the family's 1533-position model. The record is from RNAcentral.